GUGGAGAAUGUUAAUGCCUUGCAGUCAAUAAUUAUAAAGUUGAAUGACAAAAUUUCUAGUAUUAAAAGGAAGCACAAGCAUGACAAAAAUGUUUUCCUAGGGUUUAAAUCAAGUGCUAUAAGGUGUUCCAAUUGUGAAGGUUUUUGGCAUGAAACUCAUCACUGUCCUAAUUGGAAUGAAAGUCCCAUGACUAAUGAAGACCUCAAGAACUACAUUUUAUAUUUGAAAGAGGGUGAAGGAAGGGCUUUGCAAAAAUUAGAUGCAUUGAAAAGAAGACAAAAGCAAAAGCUUAAAAGAACACAAGAGAAAAAACACUUAUAGAAAUGGAAGAAAUAGAAACUAGAGGAAAAGAAGAGAAAAAAAGAGGGAGGGCGAAGAAAGAGAAAAAAGAGAAAAAGAAGAGAAAGAAAAGAGAGCAUAGGAGGAGAAAGAAAAUAUAGAAAGAGAUGAGAAAGAAAAGAAAGAGAGAGAAGAGAAAGAAGAAUAGAGAGAAAAAGAAGAAAGCAUCCUCAUUUGUCAUUAAAAAAAAUACUAAAUGAUCGCGUUUUGUUUUGUUGCCUAGGAAGAUUUGUUUAUCAAGGAACCAUGAUAUCAACAAUCGAAGAAAGAUAAAAUGACAAAAAAGGAAGACAACAAGCUUAAAACUCACAAAACCUAUAUUUGAUGAUCUAUUAGCUUGCUUGUCAAUUCAUUUAGAUAUUUAAAGUCAUCCUUUUAGUAUGAAAACAAGCUUAGAAAUGCAUGUACACGAGUUAACUU
This 759-nucleotide long non-coding RNA is filed under the name Vigna radiata. RNAcentral describes it as "long non-coding RNA (VRAD_LNC016967)". Lineage: Eukaryota; Viridiplantae; Streptophyta; Magnoliopsida; Fabales; Fabaceae. The record is from RNAcentral.